This 748-nucleotide unclassified non-coding RNA is filed under the name Hevea brasiliensis (rubber tree). Lineage: Eukaryota; Viridiplantae; Streptophyta; Magnoliopsida; Malpighiales; Euphorbiaceae. The record is from RNAcentral.
GGACCCUAAGUGUGUAAAUAUGAUCCUUUUGGGCGACAAAUUGCUAUGUAAAAUCAAAAUUCUCCAUUGAAAUUGCUCUCAGGAAAUGGCGAAAGAUUCACCAAAAACUCCCAAGUCGAGGUCGGCGACGAAUCCAUCAGUUGGCGUUUGGGCAGUACAGUGUGAAAAAUGCUUGAAAUGGAGGAGGAUUGCGACACAGGAACAGUUUGAAGAUAUCAGAAGUAGGUUUACUGAAGAACCCUUUAACUGCCCCAAUGGUACUUGUGAUGAUCCUGCAGACAUUGAGUACGAUGCUUCUCGAACUUGGGCUAUUGACAAGCCCAAUCUCCCUAAAACCCCAUCUGGCUUUAAGAGAGAAUUGUACCUCAGGAGAGAUUACUCUAAGAUGGAUACUUAUUAUUUCACUCCUUUAGGGAAGAAACUCAGAUCCGUUACUGAUGUUACUACUUUUCUUGAACAAAAUCCCCAGUUAUCUGACGUUAAACCCUCAGAUUUCAGCUUUACCAGCCCCAAAGUUAUGGAUGACACCAUACCCUCUACCGCUCUUCUUGCCAACUCUCACAAGAAGGGUGUAGCUAGUAGCACUAAAUGACUGGAUGGAUGGAGCUGGACUUGUUCAUAUGCUUAGUAGAUGCACUGUUUAGAGUCUUAAAGGUUCAACUUAUUCGCCAUGUAUUGUUAUUUUCCAUCUGCAAAAUACAUUUCAACUGCUCUGUUUACUUUUCAUGGUGAUGGAUUUGGUUGUGAC